This 2576-nucleotide long non-coding RNA is filed under the name Daphnia pulex (common water flea). RNAcentral describes it as "uncharacterized LOC124203845, transcript variant X3". The record is from RNAcentral. Lineage: Eukaryota; Metazoa; Arthropoda; Branchiopoda; Diplostraca; Daphniidae.
UUUUUUUAACUUGUUGUUUUCACAUUUUUACAGGUAGAAAAUUCAAAGUGGGUCCGUGAAUUCGAAAAGUGCCCCUAUUUAUAAGUUGUGCUAACAGAGAAUAAAUGCAACUUGCAGACACCAUCAACGAGCUUCUGUCUAUGGAAUCCCAUCGAGAGUCAUCAAACAAACAUCGCAUGAAGCUCAUAGUUGUGCAUGUCUCUCUUGCUGCACUCUUUCUUCCGGAUGGAUCAGAUGACCUUAAAUGGGACGUCUAUUGUUUCAUGAGCGGAGAGGAUGACGCUAUGCCGAACCUGUAAGUCGAUCUUGAUCAACACCUUUUUAUUUUCCUCAAUUCUUCCGUGGUCUUGCAAGGAUACCAACGAUUCACGUUGCUAAAACCGGCCAAUUGAUUCUCCUCGAGGGGUUAUGAGAUACUGACUACUGAGCUUAGAAAAUGCGUGUCGAGAAAAACGAAAACCUGUGUCCCCCUACGUACCCAACGUUGGCCAGAUCUGGCCAACAAUCAAUUUUUAGCUUUUUCGAUCCUUUGACAGAAAAGAGUCCGCUCAGUUUAUUUCCCAUUCGCUGCAGAUCGUCGCACGAGGUUGGCAAUCGACCAAUGUCAACUAAUUCACUCGUUCGGGCUGUGGAAAAAUUAUUAUCAUUACGGAAUUGUUUAUUGCAGACGACAUUCAACUCUCCAUGGCCACCUCCUAACGCCGACUGUGGCCAGUUGGUUCCAAGUGAAGAACAACACACUAACACAGUCUCUAUCUGGCUUUGAAAAUUCCCUUCAGAUAUUGUUGUAUUGUUAAUUAAAUCAAAAUUAAAAAAAAAAUUACUUCAGUUUUACAGGCUGAUUCCACUAACCAACCUCAAAGAGUUGCUGCUUGAUGGCAUUACAGCCAUUCAUUCUUUUGGUGUUGGAGCCUUCAAAAAUGAAAAAAAUUAUACAUUCCUCAAUGUGACUUAAAAUUGCCUGUACGGAUUUGACUUAAACUCGUCGUCACUUAAACUGAGCUGAGAAAACUGGACCGACAGUAUCCCAAGACAGAGAUUCUCAACGAGUUUUGAGCCGUUUCAUCCAAGGAAUGGAAAAGCAGAUUGAAGAUUCCAGCUGGAGAUCUUUUAACAGUAGCCGUUCGCGAGAGAACAGUACAGAUUCCAGGAUUUCUGUGUUCUCCUCCAAGAAUUAAAGACUCGGAGGAUUACAUCAUCUCCAGCCAGAUAAUGUGACUGCUUAGGACCGCGAGCGUGAAGAGAGAAAUUCCUACCCGUUAAAUUACACCUUAAUAAAGGGAACUACAAUUUCCUUCUCCAUCGUGCAUCCAGUGAAUUGAGUGUAGUGGCAUUGAUUGACACACGUAAAUAAUAGUAAUACUUAAAGGACAGGAUCGGCCCUAGACGAAGUUUACACACCCGAUCCUCCUCCAACACACAGAACAACUAUUGUGAUUCGAUCGUACUUUCUCGGAUCAGCAGUACCCGGGGUUUCGAAAGUCGGCUGGCGGUUGGAUGGGGCAAUGUCCCCCUCCAAUCGAAAGCAAAGAUAGUCGUUCCGCUCAUGCGUUCAUCUGGGACACAGAAGAGGACAUCUGGCGGCCAGAUUUAUCUUCAGUUGUUGGGGGCAGGCUAGACGAAUCUUGAAGCUUAAGAUUUUGAAACCAUGCUGUCCACCACGUCGUCUACGUCCAGAACAUGAGUAACAUUUUACAUGUUCAAUGUUCUGAAAGGCACCUUCAAUACCAGGAACUUCAGCCUUCCAAUUGUGCUGUCCUCAUCUCAUUUACCUUGUCUGUGAACGUCAACAUGUACCCUAAUUGAAGGCAAGAAGACGAAUUUUGAUGCUGAAAGACUUGGAAACCAUGCUGUCGACCAUGUCGGGAAGCUGAGUAACAUUCUGCUUUUACAAUGGCACCUCUUAAUAAAAGGAACUUAAGCCAUCCAAUCUAGGGCUUCCAUAAAAUCGUGCAGGCUGCUUGGAAGUUGCAUUUACUUUUGUUGUGAACAUCAUGAACACAUACAUAAUUUGAAGGUUCAUGUUUACGUAUCAGUGGUGUUGCUGUCCAAUGUGGCGUGUUGUUGCAGCCUAUGGUGGUGAAAGAUAUCUGCAUCAAGUUGCUGUUCCUUGUGCAUCUAAGGUGCUGCUUUUGUGCUACAGAAGUGACAUCCAAUAUUGUGUUUAAUUGCUAUUUGUGUCUUCGCAGUUUACCUUUAUAUAUUGAGAAGGAAAAAAAAGUAAUACGGGGAGGUUUAUGUCAAAUAAAUAAUAAACAUGUCCAGGAUGGGGGAAUGAAGAGGAAGUUGGGGUGGGGUAUUUGGUUAUGAUUUACUAAAAGAAGUAAGGUAUAUUUUUAAUGAAUAUGCUGUACUUGGUGAUAAAAUCUGUUGUUAACCUUUACCUUCCUGUCAACCUAUACUUUCCACUUACACAUCUACUCCUCAAACUCCAUAAGCACCAACAUCAAAUCCCACAUCCACUCACAUCCAUUCCUAAAACCCCACAAUCUCUAACAACAAAUUUACACAAUUGUUGUGUAUCAAUAAUCAUAUUUUAUAUUUAAAUAAAUAAAGUGCCAUUGUAUUUAAAUCUU